UUCUCCGUGGCGCAAUUGGCUAGCGCGUUCGACUGUUAUAUUCAUAUGUGGCAUCGAGAGGUUGACAGUUCAACCCUGUCCGGGGAAG
Molecule: non-coding RNA, 88 nt
Organism: Morchella snyderi
Lineage: Eukaryota; Fungi; Ascomycota; Pezizomycetes; Pezizales; Morchellaceae
Source: the annotation of a GenBank genome assembly